GCCACCUGGGAGGCUGAGAUGAGAGGAGUGCUUAUGCCCUGGAGGUCAACGCUGCAGUGAGCUGUGAUUGCACCACUGCACUCCACCUGACAGAGUGACACCCCCCCAUCUCUAAAAAAUAAAAAAAAAAAAGUGGGAAGAACAAUCACACCACGGUUUAACUGAUCAGCUACGAUGGGAACUGUGAAAGGCAUUCCACAGAGUGAAUCAAGGCUUCAGGAGGAGGCCCUGACUUAUCCUGGAGGCAGAGGGUUCUCCCAGGAAUGGCGUCUUAGCUGAAGCCUGACCCAGAAGGUAGACGGGCAGGAACGAGGUAAUGUGGAGACUGUUGGGAGCAGGCAAGGACUUCAUCCCAAGGCAAUGGGAGGCCCUCUGUACUCCCUCUUGUGAUAACUGCUUCCCUUCUUUCGGGCAGUGCUCCUGACCCCACUCUAGCUGUGUGGGUGGGUCCCUACCUGGUUGAGUCAACCAGAUCCCAUCCCUGGGAUUUUAAACUUGGAACCAGAAGGAGAGUGAUCAUCACCUCUUUUCUAGGGUGAAUCAAUGAGAAGUGAGGCUCCGAAGCUUGGAUCUCAAGUUCACAGAAGCAGCUGGUUGAGGGUGAAGCUUGCACACAGAGGCCAAGGAAGGAUGCCUACCCAUGUCCAGCUGCCCCAGGGCCCUUUCAGGACUGCUAUUUUGAGCCCCUUCCUUCCUUAACUGGUUUGAAUUGGUCACCGUCACUUGCAACCUAUUGAGUCCUAGCUAAUGUACCAUGACAGGGUUCAAGACUUGGUCAGAGAAGAGCUGGGGUAUAGGAUGCUGGGGAAGGGUACCCAUUAAUCCUCCCUUCUAAGUGGUAACUGAGAGAAUGAACAAGAACAAUAUACAGUUAAAUGAAAAUAAAAAGGCACAGUGGCUCAAGCCUAUAAUCCCAGCACUUUGGGAGGCCGAGGCAGGCAGAUCACAAGGUCAGGAGUUCGAGACCAGCCUAACCAACAUGGUGAAACCCCAUCUCUACUAAAAUUACAAGAAUUAGCCAGGCGUGAUGGCGCGCCACCUGUAAUCCCAGCUGCUCAGGAGGCUGAGCAGGAGAAUCACUUGAACCCGGGAGGCGGAAGUUGCAGUGAGCUGAGAUCAUGCCACUGCACUCCAGCCUGGGCGACAGAGCAAGACUCCGUCUUAAAAAAAAAAAAAAAGAAAAUAAACACAGACGCUUUAAGGAUCAGUUAACAACAAGACACAGACUCUAAUAUUCACUGACAUAAAGUUUCAGAAAGGGCAAAAUUAAUCUCUGGUGACAGGGGCCAGAACAGUGAUGACCUGGGGUGGGGUGUGGGUUGGUCUCUCCUGUGAGGUUUGGAAGGGCAGGUACACACGCGUGUGCACUUACCAAAACCUACUGCACUGUGCAUCCGACUGCACUGAUGUCCCUGGCUUCUUUGAGGCAACUUGGGUGACAGGCACGUGCCAUGACACCUGGUUGAUUUCUAAAGAUUUUGUCGAGGCAGGGUCUCUGUUGCCCAGGCUGGUCUCGAACUCCUGGCCUCAGGCCAUCCUCCUAACUAGUUCUCCCCAAGUGCUGGGAUCACAGGUGUGAGCCACUGCACCUGGCCCUGUUCAGAUUUUCUAUUUUUCCUGGGACAAUUUUGGUCAUUUGUAUCUUUCUAGGAAUUUUUUUGUUGUUGUUUUGAGACAGAGUCUCACUCUGUCACCCAAGCUGGAGUGCAAUGGCAUGAUCUCAGCUCACUGCAACCUCUGCCUCCUGGGUUCAAGUGAUUUUCCUGCCUCAGCCUCGUGAAUAGCUGGGAUUACAGGUGUGAGCCACCACGCCUGGCUAAUUUUUGUGUUUUUAGUAGAGACAGGGUUUCACCACUUUGGCCAGGUUGGUCUCGAACUUCUGACCUCAGGUGAUCUGCCUGCCUCGGCCUCCCAAAGUGCCGCGAUUACAGGCGUGAGCCACCACACCCAGCCAAGAUGUCGCAUCUUUUUAAAUGUUGGCAUUUGCAGCUAUAAAUUUCCCUCAGAGCAGUUUUUGCCGCAUUCCUUAAGUUCUGGUAUGUUGUUUUCAUCCAUCUCUAUUUCCUAAUUUUUCUCGUGAUUUCUCCUUUGACCCUUUGGCUGUUAAAAAGUGUGUUCAAUUUCUAUGUAUGUGUGAAUUUUCAUUUUCCUUCUGGUAUGGAUUUCUGGUUUUAUUCCAUUGUGAUUGGAGAAGGUGGUUUGCAGGAUUCCGAUCUCUAAUUUACUGAGACUUGCUUUGUGCACUAACGUGUGGUCUGUCCUGGAGAACGUUCCCUGUGCACUUAGAAACGUGUGUUCUGCUGCUAUUGGGUGGAGCACUGUUAAGUCUGGUCAGCCUUUUGGUUUUUAUGUAAUACUUGGCACAUUCACAAGAAAAUGUGUGAAACAGAAAGUACGACAAAGUGAAACCCACGAAGCCACCACUGACCCUGAGGUUCAAAACCUCCAGCAUCUCUGCUCUUCCCUAAGCACAGCUCCGUCCCCUCCCCACGGGUGAGCACUGUGUUGUACUGACUCCCUGCCCUCCCUGAUGACUUUAGCACCUGGGUAUGAAUUCCACACAUAUUUGGUUUUGAGCUUUAUAAAAAUGGCAUCAUACUGUAUGAACUGUCUUGCUUUUUCAUCCCACGUUGUUUCUGAGAGGUGUUUGUGAUGGAGCACAGGGCCAC
Molecule: long non-coding RNA, 2669 nt
Filed under: Homo sapiens (human)
Lineage: Eukaryota; Metazoa; Chordata; Mammalia; Primates; Hominidae
Description: HSALNT0122028
Source: RNAcentral